This 76-nucleotide transfer RNA is filed under the name Alphaproteobacteria bacterium. Its description in RNAcentral is "tRNA-Val". It matches the Rfam family "tRNA". From Rfam's summary of the family: Transfer RNA (tRNA) molecules are approximately 80 nucleotides in length. Their secondary structure includes four short double-helical elements and three loops (D, anti-codon, and T loops). Further hydrogen bonds mediate the characteristic L-shaped molecular structure. tRNAs have two regions of fundamental functional importance: the anti-codon, which is responsible for specific mRNA codon recognition, and the 3' end, to which the tRNAs corresponding amino acid is attached (by aminoacyl-tRNA synthetases). tRNAs cope with the degeneracy of the genetic code in two manners: having more than one tRNA (with a specific anti-codon) for a particular amino acid; and 'wobble' base-pairing, i.e. permitting non-standard base-pairing at the 3rd anti-codon position. The record is from RNAcentral. Lineage: Bacteria; Pseudomonadati; Pseudomonadota; Alphaproteobacteria.
GGGCGAUUAGCUCAGCUGGUAGAGCAUCCGGUUUACAUCCGGAAGGUCGGCGGUUCGAUCCCGUCAUCGCCCACCA